This 845-nucleotide ribosomal RNA is filed under the name Vibrio parahaemolyticus. RNAcentral describes it as "bacterial SSU rRNA". It matches the Rfam family "Bacterial small subunit ribosomal RNA", at positions 698 to 1533 of the family's 1533-position model. Lineage: Bacteria; Pseudomonadati; Pseudomonadota; Gammaproteobacteria; Vibrionales; Vibrionaceae. The record is from RNAcentral.
CUGAAGGAAUACCGGUGGCGAAGGCGGCCCCCUGGACAGAUACUGACACUCAGAUGCGAAAGCGUGGGGAGCAAACAGGAUUAGAUACCCUGGUAGUCCACGCCGUAAACGAUGUCUACUUGGAGGUUGUGGCCUUGAGCCGUGGCUUUCGGAGCUAACGCGUUAAGUAGACCGCCUGGGGAGUACGGUCGCAAGAUUAAAACUCAAAUGAAUUGACGGGGGCCCGCACAAGCGGUGGAGCAUGUGGUUUAAUUCGAUGCAACGCGAAGAACCUUACCUACUCUUGACAUCCAGAGAACUUUCCAGAGAUGGAUUGGUGCCUUCGGGAACUCUGAGACAGGUGCUGCAUGGCUGUCGUCAGCUCGUGUUGUGAAAUGUUGGGUUAAGUCCCGCAACGAGCGCAACCCUUAUCCUUGUUUGCCAGCGAGUAAUGUCGGGAACUCCAGGGAGACUGCCGGUGAUAAACCGGAGGAAGGUGGGGACGACGUCAAGUCAUCAUGGCCCUUACGAGUAGGGCUACACACGUGCUACAAUGGCGCAUACAGAGGGCGGCCAACUUGCGAAAGUGAGCGAAUCCCAAAAAGUGCGUCGUAGUCCGGAUUGGAGUCUGCAACUCGACUCCAUGAAGUCGGAAUCGCUAGUAAUCGUGGAUCAGAAUGCCACGGUGAAUACGUUCCCGGGCCUUGUACACACCGCCCGUCACACCAUGGGAGUGGGCUGCAAAAGAAGUAGGUAGUUUAACCUUCGGGGGGACGCUUACCACUUUGUGGUUCAUGACUGGGGUGAAGUCGUAACAAGGUAGCGCUAGGGGAACCUGGCGCUGGAUCACCUCCUUAAACGAUGAU